CUGCAGUCGAGAAUCAUUCGCAAUGGGCGAAAGCCUGACGAUGCGACGCCGUGUGUGUGAUGAAGGCCUUCGGGUCGUAAAGCACUUUCGCUUGGGAACAAGAGAGGUCGGAUAAUACCCGGCUAAUUUGAGGGUACCAGGUAAAGAAGCACCGGCUAACUCCA
Molecule: ribosomal RNA, 164 nt
Filed under: uncultured Parachlamydia sp.
Lineage: Bacteria; Pseudomonadati; Chlamydiota; Chlamydiia; Parachlamydiales; Parachlamydiaceae
Description: partial 16S ribosomal RNA
Rfam family: Bacterial small subunit ribosomal RNA
Source: RNAcentral